GCAUCGAUGGUUCAGUGGUAGAAUGCUCGCUUGCCACGCGGGUUCGAUUCCCGGUCGAUGCA
Molecule: non-coding RNA, 62 nt
Organism: Daphnia pulex (common water flea)
Lineage: Eukaryota; Metazoa; Arthropoda; Branchiopoda; Diplostraca; Daphniidae
Source: Rfam